Molecule: RNA transcript, 2025 nt
Organism: Oxyura jamaicensis (ruddy duck)
Lineage: Eukaryota; Metazoa; Chordata; Aves; Anseriformes; Anatidae
Gene: CMKLR1
Gene name: chemerin chemokine-like receptor 1
Exons: 5
Source: RefSeq, a predicted model, not a curated record
GGUCCAGCACCAAGGGGACACGGGGAUGUCCCUUGCUCAGCACCGGUCACCGUGCGGCUGCGUUGGGACAGGGAGCGAGGGCACGGAGGGGGGAAGGGGGGGGGGGGAAGCUGAUUCAAGGCUGGUUUUCAGCCUGCAUCCAGCAGCUGAAAAUCAUUUGUGAGCAUCCCGCGGCGAGCGGCAGCCCUGCGGUGGGAUCCGGCCGCGCUCCCCCUUUCCCCAGUCACAUCCGUCCUCCGCGCGCCCGAGCCGGCCGCGGAAACGCUUUCGCCCAGAAAAGCUGGAUUUGAACAUUUCUGCUGUUCCCUCCGCUUCCUGUCGCCGUCCCAAGAACAACAGCCCUGACCUCAUCCACGCCGGGCGCCCGGGGACGCCAACGGCCCCCGGGGGUCCCAGCCCGGUGCUGAGCUCAGCCCCACGGGGUCCCCGGAGCAGCGCAGCUGCGUGGAUCACGGGGAGGGCGGCUGCGUGCUGGCAGGCUAUUUUGGGUAGAUCCUGCGCUGGUUUCUGGUGAGGUAGGAGGACAGAGAUGAAUAGGGAACAGGGAGGAACAUGGUUUUGGCUCAGGCGAGGUAUUUGCAGCCCAGAAGGAACAUUGAAACGCUCUCACGGUUGCGUGGGGGUUUUUGCUCAGACAGAGGUUUGCUUUUUUGCUGUGAGGCACGAAGAUGGUUCGCACGGCCACCCCUCGGGCCCUGCCUUUUCGGGGCGGGAGGGCAGCCUCCUCCGCCCGAGGGCGAACGGAUUUUGCCUGAUCCGAGCCGUGAUUUUGCAGCUCCGAACCGAGGCAGUGCAGGAACCACCCCAAGAGCCCGGCACCGACCGGGCGGCGACCCUACGAUGGCGCUCUCCAAUCUGUCCGAUUACUCCGACGACCUUGAUAACUACAACGACUACCUGGAUUACACCUACGAGGAGUCGAGCAGCGUGUGGACCAGCCCAUCCCACGACCCAAAGGACAUCGCCAGGAUCCUCUCCGUUGUCAUCUACAGCGUGUCCUGCGUGCUGGGCAUCCUGGGGAAUGGCCUCGUCAUUGCCAUCAUAACCCUGAAGAUGAAGAGGUCGGUCAACGCCGUCUGGUUCCUCAACCUGGCCGUCGCCGACUUCCUCUUCAACAUCUUCCUGCCCAUAAACAUCGCCUACACGGCCAUGCGGUACAACUGGAUCUUUGGGACCGUCAUGUGCAAGCUGAACUCCUUCCUCCUCAUCCUCAACAUGUACACCAGCGUCCUCCUGCUCACCACCAUCAGCUUCGAUCGCUACGUCUCGGUGGUUUUUCCCGUCUGGUCCCAAAACCAUCGGUCAACCAACCUGGCCUACUUGGUCUGCCUCAUCAUCUGGACCGUCGGCAUCAUUAUGAGCUGCCCGUCUCUCGUCUUCCGAGACACGGCACAAGCCCGCAACUCUGUGAUUUGUUUCAGCAACUUUUCCCUGUCCAGGAACAAGUCUUACCAAGCCCUGGCGCUGAUGAGGCACCGGACAGUGAACAUCACCAGGUUCCUGGCGGGCUACAUCCUUCCCAUCACCAUCAUCACCUUCUGCUACGUCGCCAUCGUCUUCAACCUGCGGCGAAACCGCCUUGCCAAGUCCAAAAAGCCCUUCAAGAUCAUCGUCACCAUUAUCGUCACCUUCUUCCUCUGCUGGAGUCCCUACCACCUGCUGAACCUCCUGGAGACAGAGCCCGACACGAUCUCGCGCUCCGUGUUCGAGAUCGGCAUCCCCAUAACCACGGCGCUGGCGGCCUCCAACAGCUGCAUGAACCCCGUCCUCUACGUCUUCAUGGGCCAGGACUUCAAGAAGUUCAAGGUGACCAUCCUUUCCAGGCUGGUGAACGCCCUCAGCGAGGAGACGGGCCACUCCAGCAUCGUCCACAGGAGCUUCUCCAAGAUGUCUUCGAUGACCGAGAAGGAGACGACAGUCCUCUAGGAUGCUGCUGCCCGAUUGCCCCGAGCUGUCCCAGCUAUUUAAGAAAACCUUGCAGGACAUUUUUAUCUAUCGUGUCACCGUGUGGCCUGUGCUCGUGGC